AAACGACUCUCGGCAACGGAUAUCUCGGCUCUCGCAUCGAUGAAGAACGUAGCGAAAUGCGAUACUUGGUGUGAAUUGCAGAAUCCCGUGAACCAUCGAGUCUUUGAACGCAAGUUGCGCCCGAAGCCUUCGGGCCGAGGGCACGUCUGCCUGGGCGUCACG
Molecule: ribosomal RNA, 162 nt
Filed under: Juttadinteria albata
Lineage: Eukaryota; Viridiplantae; Streptophyta; Magnoliopsida; Caryophyllales; Aizoaceae
Description: 5.8S ribosomal RNA
Rfam family: 5.8S ribosomal RNA
About the family: 5.8S ribosomal RNA (5.8S rRNA) is a component of the large subunit of the eukaryotic ribosome. It is transcribed by RNA polymerase I as part of the 45S precursor that also contains 18S and 28S rRNA. Functionally, it is thought that 5.8S rRNA may be involved in ribosome translocation.
Source: RNAcentral